AACAAUGGUGGCUCAGGCGGGGCUGACUUUUGUCAGGCCGGUUCCCAAGGUUGCCGGUAUUUCCACCCCCGUCUGGGCUACCACCCAU
Molecule: non-coding RNA, 88 nt
Filed under: Serratia fonticola
Lineage: Bacteria; Pseudomonadati; Pseudomonadota; Gammaproteobacteria; Enterobacterales; Yersiniaceae
Source: RNAcentral